AACGAACGCUGGCGGCGUGGAUAAGACAUGCAAGUCGAGCGCUGAUUACAGGGUAGCAAUAUUCUGUAGUUGGAGCGGCGCAAGGGUGCGUAACACGUGGGUAAUCUGCCAUGAAGUUUGGAAUAACUCGCUGAAAGGCGAGCUAAUGCCGGAUGUGAAAGCUGGGAGGCAUCUCUUGGUUUUCAAAGCUGGGGACCGUAAGGCCUGGCGCUUCAUGAUGAGCCCGCGGCCUAUCAGCUAGUUGGUAAGGUAACGGCUUACCAAGGCUAAGACGGGUAGCUGGUCUGAGAGGACGACCAGCCACACUGGAACUGAGACACGGUCCAGACACCUACGGGUGGCAGCAGUCGAGAAUUUUUCACAAUGGGCGCAAGCCUGAUGGAGCGACGCCGCGUGGGGGAUGAAUGGCUUCGGCCCGUAAACCCCUGUCAUUUGCGAUCAACCGUUGUUGUUUAAGAGAUGACAACCUGAUAGUAGCG
This 479-nucleotide ribosomal RNA is filed under the name uncultured bacterium. RNAcentral's name for it is "bacterial SSU rRNA". It matches the Rfam family "Bacterial small subunit ribosomal RNA", at positions 29 to 480 of the family's 1533-position model. The record is from RNAcentral.